This 229-nucleotide ribosomal RNA is filed under the name Klebsiella pneumoniae. RNAcentral's name for it is "partial 23S ribosomal RNA". It matches the Rfam family "Bacterial large subunit ribosomal RNA", at positions 1 to 230 of the family's 2925-position model. Lineage: Bacteria; Pseudomonadati; Pseudomonadota; Gammaproteobacteria; Enterobacterales; Enterobacteriaceae. RNAcentral also lists the same sequence under 4 other names. The record is from RNAcentral.
GGUUAAGCGACUAAGCGUACACGGUGGAUGCCCUGGCAGUCAGAGGCGAUGAAGGACGUGCUAAUCUGCGAAAAGCGUCGGUAAGGUGAUAUGAACCGUUAUAGCCGGCGAUGUCCGAAUGGGGAAACCCAGUGUGAUUCGUCACACUAUCGUUAACUGAAUACAUAGGUUAACGAGGCGAACCGGGGGAACUGAAACAUCUAAGUACCCCGAGGAAAAGAAAUCAACC